Molecule: ribosomal RNA, 203 nt
Filed under: Borreliella burgdorferi (Lyme disease spirochete)
Lineage: Bacteria; Pseudomonadati; Spirochaetota; Spirochaetia; Spirochaetales; Borreliaceae
Description: partial 5S-23S ribosomal RNA intergenic spacer
Source: RNAcentral
AGUAAGUUAUUGCCAGGGUUUUUAUUUUAUACUUUAAACAUUGAUUUUAUUUUUUAUGUUUUUAGAUGUUCAUGUUUUUGAAUGUUUUAUGCAAAUAAUAUAAAAAAAAAUAUAUAUUGACAUGGAUUAAACAAAGAUAUAUAUUAUUCUAUGUUGUAUAAACAAAUUGGCAAAAUAGAGAUGGAAGAUAAAAAUAUGGCCAA